Molecule: ribosomal RNA, 504 nt
Filed under: uncultured bacterium
Lineage: Bacteria
Description: partial 16S ribosomal RNA
Rfam family: Bacterial small subunit ribosomal RNA
Source: RNAcentral
AUUGAACGCUGGCGGCAGGCCUAACACAUGCAAGUCGGACGGUAGCACAGAGAGCUUGCUCUCGGGUGACGAGUGGCGGACGGGUGAGUAAUGUCUGGGGAUCUGCCCGAUAGAGGGGGAUAACCACUGGAAACGGUGGCUAAUACCGCAUAACGUCGCAAGACCAAAGAGGGGGACCUUCGGGCCUCUCACUAUCGGAUGAACCCAGAUGGGAUUAGCUAGUAGGCGGGGUAACGGCCCACCUAGGCGACGAUCCCUAGCUGGUCUGAGAGGAUGACCAGCCACACUGGAACUGAGAUACGGUCCAGACUCCUAAGGGAGGCAGCAGUGGGGAAUAUUGCACAAUGGGCGCAAGCCUGAUGCAGCCAUGCCGCGUGUAUGAAGAAGGCCUUCGGGUUGUAAAGUACUUUCAGCGGGGAGGAAGGCGAUGUGGUUAAUAACCGCGUCGAUUGACGUUACCCGCAGAAGAAGCACCGGCUAACUCCGUGCCAGCCGCCGCAGUAA